This 67-nucleotide transfer RNA is filed under the name Marmota monax (woodchuck). RNAcentral's name for it is "tRNA.Val". The record is from RNAcentral. Lineage: Eukaryota; Metazoa; Chordata; Mammalia; Rodentia; Sciuridae.
GGUUGUAUCUCAAUGGCAGAGCGCUUGCCCCACACACGAGAGGCUCUGGGUUCAAUCCUCAGCACCA